GAUGAACGCUGGCGGCGUGCCUAAUACAUGCAAGUCGAGCGAACAGACGAGGAGCUUGCUUCUCUGAUGUUAGCGGCGGACGGGUGAGUAACACGUGGAUAACCUACCUAUAAGACUGGGAUAACUUCGGGAAACCGGAGCUAAUACCGGAUAAUAUUUUGAACCGCAUGGUUCAAUAGUGAAAGACGGUUUUGCUGUCACUUAUAGAUGGAUCCGCGCUGCAUUAGCUAGUUGGUAAGGUAACGGCUUACCAAGGCAACGAUGCAUAGCCGACCUGAGAGGGUGAUCGGCCACACUGGAACUGAGACACGGUCCAGACUCCUACGGGAGGCAGCAGUAGGGAAUCUUCCGCAAUGGGCGAAAGCCUGACGGAGCAACGCCGCGUGAGUGAUGAAGGUCUUCGGAUCGUAAAACUCUGUUAUUAGGGAAGAACAAAUGUGUAAGUAACUGUGCACAUCUUGACGGUACCUAAUCAGAAAGCCACGGCUAACUACGUG
This 497-nucleotide ribosomal RNA is filed under the name uncultured bacterium. RNAcentral describes it as "partial 16S ribosomal RNA". It matches the Rfam family "Bacterial small subunit ribosomal RNA", at positions 28 to 507 of the family's 1533-position model. The record is from RNAcentral.